UACGAAGGGGGCUAGCGUUAAUCGGAAUUACUGGGCGUAAAGCGUGCGCAGGCGGUUUUGUAAGCCAGAUGUGAAAGCCCCGGGCUUAACCUGGGAAUGGCAUUUGGGACUGCAAGGCUUGAGUGCGGCAGAGGAGACUGGAAUUCCUGGUGUAGCAGUGAAAUGCGUAGAUAUCAGGAGGAAUACCGAUGGCGAAGGCAGGUCUCUGGGCUGACACUGACGCUCAUGCACGAAAGCGUGGGGAGCAAACAGG
Molecule: ribosomal RNA, 253 nt
Filed under: uncultured bacterium
Lineage: Bacteria
Description: partial 16S ribosomal RNA
Rfam family: Bacterial small subunit ribosomal RNA
Source: RNAcentral